RNAcentral lists this long non-coding RNA (626 nucleotides) under Gossypium raimondii (Peruvian cotton). RNAcentral's name for it is "long non-coding RNA (GRAI_LNC000196)". Lineage: Eukaryota; Viridiplantae; Streptophyta; Magnoliopsida; Malvales; Malvaceae. The record is from RNAcentral.
UAGGGGCCGUUCUCACGCAACUCCGGCCAUUGGCCAUGGAGGCGGAGAUGGCGGCCUGAGCUUAAGGGCAGAGAGAGGCGUGGGGAGGAGAGCAUUCGGGCUCUCAGUUUUCCUUUUUUGUUUUUUUAUUUUCUUUUUCUUUGUUUGUUUAAAAAAUGAAUGGAGGCUAUCAGAUUAAGGUAUUUAUUGGGUCUUAUGUGUUGUCUGAAACGACGCCGUUUGGAGUCUGAUCAAUGGCUCCAAAACGGCGCCGUAUUGAGCGCGACCCGCUCGUUGACCCGAUGGAUCCCAAGGAUCCGCGUGUUUUGGACUUAGGGUCUAUUUACCCUUUCAGUCCUUCUGCUUCUGGGCUUCCCUCCAAUCUGGUCCUUGUUUUAGUUUUUUUUCUUUUUUACUUUUCUCCCCUGGAAUUUUGCAUUUUUUUUAUUUAGUCCCGUUUUUUAUUGUUUUUUUUAAAGUAAUUAGUUUUAUUACCAUUAUUAUUAUUAUUAUUAUCAUUAUUGCUUUUAUUUUUAUUAUUUGCCUUUAUUGUUUACCCAUUUAUACUGUUUUUUGAUUAUGAUAUAUGUGUACAUACCUAUAUACAUACUUACACUUUAAUACAUUCUAUAAUUUAUACAUAUACA